AAAAAGGGCUUCUGCCAUGACUGGUACACGCCGGUAGCUCAUUUGCCCUGCAUGCAGAAUCUACAUCAAGAGGUUUUAGAAGCAUAAUUUUUGAACACCUGGGCAGCUGGUGAGUGUUUGUCCCGGCGUUCUC
Molecule: small nuclear RNA, 133 nt
Organism: Suncus etruscus (white-toothed pygmy shrew)
Lineage: Eukaryota; Metazoa; Chordata; Mammalia; Eulipotyphla; Soricidae
Product: U11 spliceosomal RNA
Exons: 1
Source: RefSeq, a predicted model, not a curated record